RNAcentral lists this ribosomal RNA (550 nucleotides) under Automate evermanni. RNAcentral's name for it is "partial small subunit ribosomal RNA". The record is from RNAcentral. Lineage: Eukaryota; Metazoa; Arthropoda; Malacostraca; Decapoda; Alpheidae.
GAGCUAGUAAAUGGGUUUGUUAGCAGUAGUUAAAGUUAGAAGUGAUAUCUUGAAAUAUUUAAAUGAAGUGGUGAAAUGUAUAUGUUAGAGUAUUUAUUAAGAUUAGAAGUUUUACUUAAGGCUAUAAAAACUAGGGGUUAAAACGGGAUUAGAUACCCCUUUAUACCUAGUAUAGAGUUUGUAAGAAUGAUGGGGUAGUAAUGAGAUAUGGUCUUUAAACUUAAAGGAUUUGGCGGUAUUUAAGUCCAGUUAGAGGAACCUGUACAGUAAAUGAUAAUCCACGAGAAUCUUAUUUUACUUUGAAAUUCAGUUUGUAUACCGCCAUUAUUAGAUAGUUUUUAAAAAGAGUUAUUAGAAUAGUUUUACUAGUAUAUUAGGUCAAGGUGCAGCUAAUAGUAAAGGUGUUAUGGGUUACAUUCUAUAUUAUAGAUGCGAAUAGAAGCGGAGAAAUAACCGCUUUUUGAAGAUGGAUUUAACAGUAAAUUUUAUAUAUUAUGUAAGGUUGAUGUUGGCUCUUAAGUAUGUACACAUCGCCCGUCGUUCUCGCUUU